RNAcentral lists this microRNA precursor (214 nucleotides) under Oryza punctata. RNAcentral's name for it is "MIR812 microRNA precursor family". It matches the Rfam family "MIR812 microRNA precursor family". The record is from Rfam by way of RNAcentral. Lineage: Eukaryota; Viridiplantae; Streptophyta; Magnoliopsida; Poales; Poaceae.
AAUAAGUGUAGUUUUGCACUGUUUAUAUUUAAUAUUUGACCGUCCGACUUAUUUGAAAAAAUUCUAUGAUUAAUAUUUUUUUUUGUUGUUAUUAGAUGAUAAAACAUGAAUAGUACUUUAUGUGUGAUUAUUUUUUUUAAUUUUUUUUUAUAAAUUUUUUAAAUAAGAUAGAUGAACAAACGUUGAGACAUGGGUAUCCACGGCUACGUUUAUU